This is a long non-coding RNA of Symphalangus syndactylus (siamang), 10697 nucleotides long. RefSeq lists it as uncharacterized. NCBI's taxonomy places the organism in Eukaryota, Metazoa, Chordata, Mammalia, Primates, Hylobatidae. The record is from RefSeq and is a predicted model, not a curated record.
UUCGUUCUGCACUUCUCCUUGCUGCCGCCACGUGGAGAACGUGUUUGCUUCACCUUCUGCCACAAUUGUGGCUGCUGUGCGCCAGGACCUUGACGAUCAUCACUCAACAGGCAUGACUGUGCCUGGCACUCAUGGUGUGUGGCCUGAGAGCCCGUGUCAGAACACCCUGGGACAAGCACUGUGCUUGAUGCUUUUCCUGCAUGGUUGCCUGCAGUUCAUCCUCACAACAGCCCCGUGAGGAAACGGCUGGGACUCUCCCCUUUUACCGCUGUUAGCUCUUCAAGAAAGAACAGAAAGAACAAAAGAAAGAACCCCAAGACCUAGCAUGCAGUGGCCGCUCAGUUGAUGACUUUGGAGGCCCCUUCUCCUCACCUUUCUUCAGCAGCUCGGCAGCGGCCAAGGCCUCGUGCAGGGUCACCCCAGCCCCGAUCACGGUCACCUGGUCAUCCUUGCUCUUCAGGACCACCUGGGGGUGACACAGAGGGUGAGUGAGGCUCAGGGCCUUGGGGCAGGUUGUGUCCUGACUGCUGGGAGUCACAGCAGGGAGGGUCCAGGCAGCUCUGUGGGCUCCUGGGGCAUGCGAGGCACUGACCUUGGCUUGUCCAACCUGGAAGUCCUCGUUGUUGUUAUAGAUGAUGGCAUUUUCUGGGCGGCUGGUCCGGAUGAAGCAGAUACCCUGAGAUCGAAACAGAUAAAUUGAGGAUACAGGAUGUGGCACACUCAACCUCAGAGACAAGGUCUUUCUAGAGAGGCCAUCCCUUCCCAUGGGAGUGUCACUGCAUCCUGGCUACUCCAGCAGGGAAAAGGGCCUUGCCUGCCCUCUGCCACCCGCACCCCACUUGAACACUCUGAGAACUACCCACCACCUUGCAGCCCCAGACCGAAGGCAACUUUCCACCAGGUAGACUGGCUGCAGGUGGGCUACUCUCGCAGACUGCACCAGGCAGAGGGGCAGGAACCACACGCACUGGGUCUGUGGUGUGCAGCUCCGGGCCUGGACCACGGGGCUCAGCUCAUCCUUGCCUGUCUUAGAGAACCCAACUCAGGAGGGUGGACAGGUGUCAACUGCCGGACCAGCCUGGGCUGCCGGGAUUCUCAGCAAAGACAUACUGUGGCAAUCAGUUGACAGUGUCUGCCACGUGGCAGUAAGUGGGGCGUGUAUUUCAUUUUUUCUUGUCUAACUUCCGCAAGCUACACAAACACCAGGGGCAAGGUCAGGAAACACACCCUGGGGCAGCAGUGACCAGCUCUGGCCUCCUCUUCUGUUUCCGUUGGGAAGCGAUGGCUACCAGCAGGAGAAACAGCAGCCAUGCGACCUACCUUUGUAUUGGCGGCUAGUUCCACUGCCUUCUCUGUAGCAACGCCAUCACUUGGGUAAAAGACAGUUGAUGUGGGGACUGACCGAAACAUAGCCAGAUCUUCCAGGGCCAUCUGGGAGGGCCCAUCUUCCCCUGAGGUGUGGGGAAAGGAUAUGCAGAAAUAAGACCCCCCCCUAUCCAUGGGCUGGAAUCCUGGCCCAUCCCCCUCCCAUACCUCCUGGUGCAAAAGUCAAGGGAGCUCCAGGUGUAAAUGCCCUGGCUAAACUCACCGAUGGAAACGCCGCAGUGGGAGCCGCAGAGGUUGAUAUUGCUCUCGGAGAUGGCGGCCAUGCGAAUCUGGUCAAAGGCCCGUGUGAAGAAGGCUGCAAAAGUGCUGCAGAAGGGCACCGUCCUGUUGCGGGUGGCACAGCCCACCGCGAUGCUCACCUGGGGGCAGGUGGGGCAGGGUCAGCCCAAAGGGGAAGGCAGAGGGUGGUCGGGGAGCCUAGGACCCCUUUCGUGGAGAAGGCCACAGUUUGUGUAUAGAUUGUCCAUCCUUUCUGGGCUUCUGAAUGUGUCCCCCACCACCUUCUUCUGCAGAGACUGGUCCUCCUAACCCCUCCCUAGGGUCCAAGGGCAGUAGCCUCAUGCCUGCUGAGGCUCCAGACCCCAAAUCACCCAUCCAGAAGCAGCACUGAGUACAGUCAUCAGUUCCAAACCGGCUGCCCCUCAAGGCUCCAAAAUCUGCCAGCCAACACGAGGCCUCCUUCCCCAGUACCUGGGGCCUCCCCAGCCCCACACCCUGCAGAGCAGUCUCUGGAAACCACAGAGAGAAUUUCAGGUCCAGUUGGAAGAACUCUGGAGAUGUGAGUGCCCUCCAGAGAGAGGAAGCUCCCUGUCCCUAGGGGCCUGCAAGCCAGGCUGGGCUCCUGGACCACCAGGAGGAGAUGUUUUGAAAAAAUGGACAAAACAUUGUUCUUUACUUCACAACUUCCGUUCCUGACAAGGGUCUGCUUCCCCAAAUGGGUACAUGUCAGGGGCCCAGAGUUCCCUCAUCUCUGCAUCCCUCAGGGUGGCAGGGCCCAGAGCCGUGUGCCUUACGGGUGCUCAACAGACUCUGGCUGCUAAACCCAUCACGGCCCCACCUACUGGCCGGGCCUGUCCUCCACCUGGAAGAGACCCCAUUCACUAUCAGGCCUGGCCUGCACGCAGCUCCUCCUGAGAGCACCUGCAGUCCCCUUCGGCUCCCCCAUGUGCACACCUGUCCAGGACAUUUGCACCUGGGCAGAACCUCCCAAACUGUGGCUACUCAAGGUCAGGGGUUAACGCUGGGUCUUGGCUUUUCUUAUCGUCUCCCUGGGCUGGCCCACAGCAGGCACCUGGCUCUGCCAACAUGGCUGCCCCACAGCCCUCAGACCACAGCCCUCAGCCUUGGGUGGACCUGUCCCUGCCGGCCCCGGCACCCACCAUGUUCUGCUCGGCAAUGUAGCACUCGAUGAAGCGGUCUGGGUGCUCCUUUUUGAAGAUCUCUGAGAAGGUGGAAUUUUUGGUGUCCCCAUCCAGGGCGAUGAUGCGGUCACUGGCAUGGCCCAGCUUGGCCAGUGCCUGCCCGUAGGCCUUGCGGGUGGCUAUCUGUGAGGAAGAUAGUGGCAAGGCUCUGGACCCCUCUGAGGGUGAGUGCACACUUGCAGCCUGCAGCCCUGCUUUCAGAGAAGGAUUAAAACGGGGCCAAAAAUGGAAGCCCUGCAGCACAAGGUCCUGCAGAGGCUUUUAACUGCUGAAAGCUUGCCAACGACUACGGUCAAUGUCUUGGGAGCCCCUGGAGCUCCCGCCCCUAGCCUGGCUGUGAAAGGUAUAAGCUACAGAAGACACCCACCAGCCCCAACUUCCCGCCUGCUGCACCAGGUCUAUGAACCUAUUCCACUUUGCACGGGAACACAGAAGGCUUGAGAGUCAAGGCCAGGUGCAGGCUGCAUGGACGGGUUCCCUUGGGACAGAAACCUGGAGCGGGACAGCUCUGCCUAGCCUUUCCCAGGUCAUGUGGGGGGUCCUGAGCUCAGGCCAAGGGUCCCUUGUGGACCAGCGAUGCAAAGACUUGGGAGUGAGUCCUUGGCUUUGAUCCCAGUUCUGUCAGUAGCUUGCUAAGCUUGCUAACUGGGCAAUUCCCUUGCCCGUUCUGAGCCUCCACAGGUCAGCUCCAGAGCUGUCUGUCCUGCUGAGGGAAGUGACAGGAACAACACCUCAGGGAUCACUCCUUGCCCUAAAUGAAUCGCUCUCCUCCCUUUCCCGCCCUCCAGAGGGUGUAUCUGGGCCACAGACUUGGGGAACCUGAGAACUACGGGUCCAGAGAAACAGGCCCCACUUUGUACCUUGUCCCCAACUUUGUAGCUGGGCAGGCUGGGCAUGCGGAUGUUGGCAAUGUCCACCGAGGGUGCGUCCUCCUGCGGAGGGGUUGCCAGGAUCUUCUUUUUGCUCUGGAUCUGGCUGUAGAUCUCCUGGAUGAUCUGCUCAGCCAUGUUUUUGGGGAGGGGCUUCCCAUGCCAAGACUCCUUAUCUUCUACCCCUGCAGACCCAACACGGGAGGACAGAGGAAUGGGUAAGACAGAAGCUCCCAGAGGGCCAGAAGGCUGCUCCAGGAGACUGGCCCCCCACCUGCCGAGGGCAAGGGAGGAAUGGCAUCAUCCCAGCCAGGCAGAGCCCAGCCAGGCACGGGGGCCAGGAAAGGAGGGUCACAGUGAAUAGGAUGGACUCCUAUGUGCCCACCACUCACUGCCUACUGCCUGGUCCUCCGGGAGCUCACAGUUGAGUGGGAAAGGAGGGGCCAGACGUGGGCAGGUGUGUGUUUCUGGGCCCGCUGCCCCAUCCCUUCACCAAUGUGUCCAUUCUCUUCCUCCCUGCAACCCCGCCCGCAGGGUCACACACAAGUGGAGGUGUCUGCUGCAGAAAUAGUUUGUCGACUGGGUUGGAAGGGACCCUGGCCAUCAGAAGGGGAACCCAAGGCCCAGAACAGGGCUUCCAGGGUCACCCGAUGCAUCUGUGAGGAGCAGAGGGGUCUAUAAGCACCUAGGCGUGCCCACCCCAUGGCACCUUGUUGUGUGGGGCCAGCAAGGCUGAAUAUCCGUCUUCCUGGAGGUCACCUCACUAGUCACUAGAGUCUGGCCAGAGCCAAGAACAGACUGAACUCCCAGGUAGCACCCAGCAGCCCCAAAGCCUAGCAAGAGCCCCCCAAAAGCUGCAAGUGGUCCAGAUCCUGCCCGGUAUUAACAAACACCUGAGGGCAGUGCCAGGCAGCAGCACCAAAGCCAUGACAAUAUCCCAGAGCCCUUUCCUCGACAUCCACCCCCUCCCAGAUACUGCCCAGCACUGCCAAACCCCCACUCAGAACGCCCUCAUAUACCUGAGUCUACAUGGGCAGAACAAGCCACAACCCCUGAGAGCAGGCAGGUGGGCAGCCAGGGGCAUUUGGCAGGGAAGCCGACCCAGGCCCUGGGAUCAACCCCCCUAGUGCCACAGACUUCCUCUGUCCCCGGGCAAGUCCCUGACCACUUGCAGCCUCAUUUUCCCAUCUUUAAAAUGGGUGAGGCCAUCCCAGGCCUAGGAAUCUGGAGCCCACACCUGGGUGCCGGGGAGUGACUUACGCCUGCCUCAUUCUCCGGCCUGGGGCAGAACCCAGGUUCCAAACCCCCCGAGGCUCUCGGCCCACACAGGCCUUGCUCAGCAUCUGCCAUUGUUUGAGGAGUACCCCACUCACCUCCUAGAGGGAACAGUUCUCUCCAGGCCCUGCCUGGCUCUGUGUUGGCCCUUCAGCUGGAGCAGGUGGCUGGAGCUGGCAGAGCACACAGAGCUGCGGCUCUGAAAGGCACCAGCCAGGGCGGGGCACGGGGGCUGCCUCUCUCCAAGACCUUCCUCUCACCCACAGACCCUCUAAGUCCCUCCUCCUCUCCUGCCUGUACAUGCCCCCACCGGCAGAGGCCAGAUGGAUCUGAGUUCAAAUCCUGGCUCAGCCACAGGGGUCACUGAGUCACAGCGUCUCCCGCUCCCCUUCCCUGGAGCCUGGUGCACUCAGUGAGCAGCAAGGGCUGGUGUUUCCCCGGAUGUGAGGGUCACAGCUAUAUAGCCACAGGGUCUGGGCCAGGGGUGAAGGUGGGGAGGGCGGCUUGUGCAUACUGACCCGUGAUCCCUCGGCCCUUGAAGGUCUUGGCAAUGAUGGCUGUUGGCUGGUGCUUGGCCUGGCCAAAGGCCUUGCACAGCUCCUCCACGCUGUGUCCAUCCACGAUGAUGGCAUGCCAACUGGGGACAGGGGGCAGAGAGUAAGGGGCAAUUCCCAGGGGCCACAGCACCGAGAAGCCUCCCAGGGAAAGGUCUGCCUUGGCAUCUGGGGGUCUGCCCAGGCUCCACCCCACAACUGUGGCCUCAGCUGGAGUAGUAGGAAGCUUGCAACAUUCCUGUUUCCAGUUUGGGUUUUUUAAAUCCUUUUCUUUUUCACAUUAUUUUACUUCCUUUUGUUUGCCUCUGAACAGGUUUUCCUCCUCUUCCUAAGUAAUCCAGAGCUCAGUUCCUUUAUUGUCUCUUUCAUUCCUGAUCUGCUCAUUUCCUCCUGAAAUCUGUUCUGGGGUCAGCACACUGGGUUUGGAAUCUGUCUGCUAUUAGAUUCUUGAUGAAUUUUUUGGCCCAGUUUUUAUUUGGGGAACACAUUUGAUCACUCCACAGAUGCUGGAUGUGGUGCUGGAAAUGUUUUUGAAAUGAACCAUGUUGUCAAAUAUACAGGAAAGAGCUGGGGCAGAGCAGCCUUUCUCUCGAAAAGCUAUCUUUUUUAGGGAUUCUCUUUGGCAUAAUAAGAAUAAAAAUGGCACUUCUCAAACUGAGUGCCAUGCCAAUCACUACCCAUAUUAGCCCACUGAAGCCUCACCACGCCAUGCUUGGUUGUUGAGUUGGCCCCAUUUUACAGACAAAUCAACUGAGACAUUGAAGGUGGAGUUAAGUAACGUGACCCACACCACAAAGCAAGUUAGCGGUGGAGCCAGGACUUCAGGAAUCUGGCUUGAGUCACGAGGUUAUGGACACAGGUCCUGGGGGUGCUGCUGGGGUUGUACUCUGAGUCCCCAGAUAGAUGUGGCCUUGGGGAGGCCUGUGGGGUGAGGACCCUGUGGCUCAGUUUCCUCGCCUGUCCAACAGAGAUUAUUUCCUCCCUUCCUCCUCUCCCUUUCUGAGGUCAGUCAACAGGGAACACAGGCCUGCGUCUGCUGUGCUACUGCAAGGUAACCCCAAGCAGCCUGUUACUUAGUGUAGUCACAGGCGUGGGCUCAUCUGCAAAACGCAGCCCUGGAGGCCUGACCUGAGUCUCAAAGCCUUGCACGGCGCCUGCCCUGCUCCCUCCCCUCCACAGCCUCCUCAGCCAAUGCUGGGCCCUGUGCAGAACAGCUUGUGUUUGGGAACACCGGUGGAGGCUUUGAGGUGGGGCCCCUCUGGCUGACACCCAUGCAGAUUGACCUCCCUGCUUUGUGCCCGCUGACCCUGAAUUCGUAACCAAUCAAGGCCGGAAGGGGGCAUCUGGAAACCCUAUCUCCCGUUUCACCAGGAGCCUGUUCCUCCUCCCCAGGCUGGCUGGGCUGGGCACAGGACGUGGCCACCAAACUGAGGUUCAAACCUCUCCACAGCUAUAUGUCCUUUAGCUUUACCGAGCGAGCCCCCAUCCCUCAAGAACCCUCCCUCCUCAAGAACAAAGUGAGCUGACGUGAGAUGGUGUGUGGAAGCUCCGAGAGCCACCAUGCCACAACCACAAGAACAAGGAAACUCACUUAAAACUGGGCCUGGCCCACAUAUCCUGAGCCACUAAGUCCAAAUGCCUAGAGUUUGAAAUUGUGAGUCAAAUGCUAAAGAAAGGGACCUUUAGAUGGUGCUUAAGGUCCCAGCUUCAGCUCCUGCACCUGCACCUGCAAAGCUGCGAUCACAGACCACUCUCCGUGCUGUGACCAGACUCAGGCCACAGCCUCGUACGUACCCGAAGGCCUCGCACCGCUUCUGGUAGAUGUCCAUCUGGUGCUGCAGCGGGGCCGGGUCACUCUGGCCCAGGCGAUUGAUGUCUAGAAUGGCCACGAGGUUGUCCAGCUUAUAGAUGCUGGCAAAGGCCAUGGCCUCCCAUACGGAGCCCUCUGACAGCUCCCCGUCUCCCAGCAAGCAAUAGACUCGGUAGCUGUGGACAGAGAGUGAGUCAGGCCAGUCCUCCUCACCUGGACCCAGCUGGCUCCCACCCCGCUCCCACCCCUACCCAUCCAAGAAGCCUGCACUCUGGGUAAAGGAGCAGCCACGUGUGGAUAUGCAGAACAGACGGCAUUUACACUCGAGGGGCAACAGUGUCACCAGGUCCCUGCAGCCUACCACAAGCCACACCCCAAGAGAAAAUGGCCAUGAAGGAAGCCGUCAGGAGCUCAGGAAAAAGUACUGGUUGUUAAGAAACAGAGGUCUAGGACAACAGGGAUCUGCCUAAUAAGAUCUAGAAAAAUGGGGGUUGUUGGAACGAGAGGAAAGUGAGUAACAGUGGGUGAACAGGCUUGAGCCACCUACUGCAGGGGACGGACCCCGCUUUGAACCAGAGGUUGGAGGAGGCCUUGGGACUGGCUGGGUGGGCCAGUGGUAAAGGUGAACCUUGGGAACCAAGCUCUGCUUCUGCCCGGAGGAGGGAGGUGGGCCAGGGAGGCCUGAGGCACUCUAGGCAACACCCUGGAGCAAGAGGGCUCAGGGGAGGACGGAGCAGAGGGCCCUUGAGGACCAGGCGCUUCAUGGGACAGGCUCUCCCCAAGCUUCCAAGACUGGCUCUUGACCCCAAGACUGAAGCUGCACCUGGCCCUUUCUCUACCACGGGGGCCCUCUCCUCCCCUCAACACAGGCAGCUGUGAUCUUUUCAAGACAGUGAGACAUGUUAAAAAGAACAGUGAACUUGGGAUAAAUUAUCCAGUUCAGAACGUUCCCAGGCCUCUGGGGAGGGUGGGCGAGGGGGUGAGGCUAGAGGAAGGGAGACCAGUUCAGGGACUCUGAGCCCAGCCUGGGAGACGUGAGGGGAUCGGGGUAGCAGAGGGAUGGCAGCAACAGACACAGGACUUGUCUGAAGGUCGCGCUGUCAGGAAGUUGCUGAGCCAGGAUUCAAAUGCAGGUCUGACUAUAGCCUAGACUGUCCACUCCUUGCCAUGUAAGCAUGCAUGUAGGGUGAGGAGUGGUAGGACUUGGGGACCUCCCCUUACCCUGCCCAGUGUCUAGCUGUGUAGCCCCAGGAAAUGAGGCUGGUGCCUGGUUGGGCUCAGAGGGGACACGGCUGCCCUUCUGCUCCUGCAGGAAAAGGCCCUCAACCCCGCUGCAUGCUCAGCAGUCCAAGCCUCCAGGCCUCCCUGCUGCAAGGCCAAGGCAGGGGCAGCAGGAAGAGGCUGGGACAGCCAGCCACGGAGCUGUCAGCAUGACUCAGCACUUCCACAUGCCAGCAGGCUGGGAGCACUCCCUGCAGCCUCUCCUGCCUCGUGCUGCUCUUCUGCGGCCUCCACCACAGGAGGUGGUGCCCCUGUGGGGUACCAUGGCCUGAAGGACAAAGCCUCAGGCACACACUUCAGAGGCCCUAUCCUGUCCCAGCCUUGCCUCCUCUUUCCCCUGUAGGUUUUGAGGGGGCCCAGAGACCCUGGAGGGGCUCUGGUCUGGUACAGCAGCUACAGAAAGGGGCCACAUGAUGGGGCUGAGCCAGAGAAGCCAACUCGACUUCCCAGAAAAGGAUUCCAGGGAAGCCAACUGGCUGCCACCCCAAGCCCACACCCACUUCCAGGGAAGUCGAACCGAGGCUAGCACUGGAGGCCCAGCACAGCUUUGGCUUCGAGACUAGGGACAAGGCUAAGCCCUAUGGGGCCAUCAGGCUCAGGUCAGAGGGUGUGCUGAGGUCCCGAGGAGAUGCCAAGGAAGGGGUUGUGAACAGGGAAGGGGCCUACAGGAGCCUGGGCUAACCCUGAGGCUUGGUAUUGCCUGAGCUGUUAGAGUUAGGGGUGGGGGGCUGCAAACAUCCAUUCAUGAACUAAUUUGAAGAGAGGGGACCCUAAACAGAAGGCCGACAUUUGUUGCAGAACGAUUUGGAAACUACCUUACGCGUCCAACAACAGAGGACUAGCUAGAUGGAUUAUAGCAUCUCCAUAAAACAGAACAUUAGGUGAUCAUUAAAACCAGCUCUCAGGAUGGGUGCAGUGGCUCACGCCUGUAAUCCCAGCACUCUGGGAGGCUGAAGUGGGCAGAUGACCUGAGGUCAGGAGUUUGAGACUGACCAUCCUGGCCAAUGUCAUGAAACCCCGUCUCUACUAAAUAUAUAAAAGUUAGUUAGCUGAGUGUGGUGGUGCGGGCCUGUAAUCCCAGCUACUCGGGAAGCUGAGGCAGGAGAAUUACUUGAACCCAGGAGGCGGAGGUUACAGUGAGCUAAGAUGGCACCACUGCACUCCAGCCUGGGUGACAGAGCAAGACUCCAUCUCAAAAAAAAAAAAAACAAAAAAAAAACCCAGCUCUCCACUGUUAAUGUCAGGAGAAAAAGCUCAUGAUAGAAGGCUUGGUUUAAAGUGUAAUACUAGGUUUUACAUUAUACACACACACACACACACACUGGGAUGACAGGUUUGUAAGCUUUUCUCAUGAUAACAUGGACAAAAUACAUCAUUAGAUUUAAAUUGGGGGUGGGAGGCAGUGUGUUAAGAAUAAGGAAAAUGUUGGUUGGGUGUGGUGGCUCACGCCUGUAAUCCCAGCACUUUGGGAGGCCGAGGUGGGCAGAUCACAAGGUCAGGAGAUUGAGACCAUCCUGGCUAACACGGUGAAAGCCCGUCUCUACUAAAAAUACAAAAAAUUAGCCAGGCGUGGUGGCACCUACCUGUAGUCCCAGCUACUUGGGAGGCUGAGGCAGGAGGAGAAUCACUUGAACCCGGGAGGCGGAGGUUGCAGUGGGCCGAGAUCGUACCACUGCACUCCAGCCUGGGUGACAGAGCGAGACUCCAUCUCAGAAAAAAUAAAAAUAAAAAAAUAAGGAAAACGUUCAUUUCUUAAUAUCAUUCUGUACUUUUUAAACAGGAGGGCAGGGAGAAACAGUGAGCAGCGACCAGUUUGCUCUAUCAAGAUGCUACCUCUGGGUGCCUGGCCUGACAUGAUAAUCCCUGGAUGCCCUGGCCCCUUCCCCCAGGUACAGUCGGGGGCCUAGGCUCCAGGCAACCCUGGCCCCAAGCCACCCUGGCUUCUGGGAACCCAGCUAAACUCCUUCUCCCUACACUGACUUGUUCCAUUAUGUUAGGGGUCAGGAAAUGCCCCUUCACAGGGAAUUAUUUCCAGCAACUGUAGGGAAUAAUUAACUCACAUCUCUGGUUCUCUGCCAAAUAAAAUGCUCUUAAACAUGCA